Molecule: non-coding RNA, 72 nt
Organism: Phrynosoma platyrhinos (Desert horned lizard)
Lineage: Eukaryota; Metazoa; Chordata; Lepidosauria; Squamata; Phrynosomatidae
Source: the annotation of a GenBank genome assembly
GCCAGUGUGGUAUAUUGGUUUGAAUGUUGGACUAAGACUUUGGAGAUCAGGGUUUGAUUCCUCUCUCUGCCA